AUUAUUAUAAAGAAGAUAAGAUCAGAAUUUAAAGUGGUAAGUGUAAUACUUAGAUUAUAAAAAUACAUUGAGGGCUAAGUACGAGCCAGGUCUUGAAGGGCAUUACUCUCAGCCCUGAGAUUGUUUGUUUAUAGUGUACUCGGAUCAGUCUGAUCCGUACCAUACACAGUACGGUUGUUGACUUUCCGACGAUGUUUUUUUUUUUUUUUUUUCUUUUGCAGAACAUAAGUAGUGUUCUUGUGUUUGUGAAAGUUUGAAUUUCAACUUGUGAAAAUAUUUACAAAAACUAUAUUUUGAUCCUUGUCAUGUUAUGAAUCACAUUGUUGAAAUUAAAAUCCGUCUAAGAGGCAAUGAGCUAAUAGUUGUGGGAAAUGAAAGAAGUGUUGCAUUUGCCCAUCAAAAAUAGACAAAGAAAACAUGCCAGUUAGCGAGAGAGUCUGAUAUGUAGAAACUGCACCAUUUUGAUGUGUACAAAUUGUGCACUAUAUCAUUCUGGAUAACAAAAGUAUAAUAGCAUGAACUAACUAUUUAUUCGUUAUGUUGUAGACAACAACAUAACGAAUAAGACACUGAAGUUGUGAGCCUGAAGAGGGAUUGGAAAUUUACCAAUCCUAAAUGCAUUGUUAAAUAGGCGAAAUAAAGAGCUGUUUUAAUUUCGGUCUCUGUUAAUUGCAAAUAAUUAAGACGUGAUAAAUAUCAUUAGUCUCACUAUUGGGUAGGCCGAGUAACUAAGCGGCAGCGUACCGCUCGGAGACCCAGGAUCGAAAAAUCUCCAGGAAUUUUUCGGGGGUGAUCCGAUCGGAUAUGUCGGUCCCCGUUCCUCACCAUCCGGUCGCUCCAUUGUGGGCCUGGCCGAACCCAUAAUGGGCUUGCUAAAAGAGGCUCUCAGUACCCACAGGGCGGAAAGGGUUAAAUUAAUUAAUUAAAUUAAAUGUUAAAACUCCCUGUCCUUUGCACACUUUUAAACAAAUUAGAAUGUUCUAGCUCGUUGCCUUUACACAACACUAAUGGCACGCCCCUUGACUAAAGGGAAAAUGGUGAACAUGUAUUCACUUUUUUUUAAAACAUAGCGUUGCUACAGCCAUUCUAUAUAGUAUGUAUAUUUAUUUAUAAAGAAAAAAAGGUGAUGUCUGUAUUUUAGCUCGCUUGGAAUAACUAUUCAAAAGCAUUUUAAAUAUUAUUGUUUAUAUUUCUUUUUGUGUAGCAGUUACUCUAUAUGCCUGUAAUUUACAAACCGUUCGUUUUACAUAAAAUUUAAAAACAAAAUAUUUCUACAAUUAUAUUAAUUGGAAUAAAAGAAAUUACAGAUAAUGCAAAUUUAUUAAAUGUACUUCGUUUUAUGUAAUUUAUAGGGUUUGUUAUUGUCCCACUUAAAGGUCACGUAUCAUUAAGCGUUAUUUGUUUUUUGUGGCGUAACUUACGACUCUCAAUCUUUCUAGUGUACCAUUCGGCAUAGAAAAAUUUACAUUAAAAAAUUAUUAAAAAAUUAAUUAAACAAUACAACAGAGAAUAACACUGUUGAACUUUAUUAUUGUUAUUUUAUUGUUGGAAAAUGUUCGAUUCAGAAGUUGAAAGUUAACAGAAGCGAGACUUGCAAAGCACGGAAUACCCCUGGCCAAACUAAAAAGAUAUUUUGAUCAUGGUACUUUCUUAAUAUUGAGUGCAAUAAAAUCUCUCCAGAAAUUCCGACUUUUGUACAUUGUACUUCGACGCUAUUUUGAAUAGGAAUAUCUCGAGAAGGUAAGUAUUACUUCUUUUCUUGGUCUGUGAUUAAAAUUGAAUUUCAGCAAACGAAAGACAAAAUGAAAAAUCAACAGUCAUUGGACGAAUUGGAAGCAAUAAUUAGUUAAAUGAUUAAUUUUAGAAUUUUAUUGUUGCAAAAUGUAUUAGCAGAUGUUGAUUUAAAUCGAAAAUCGGGACGUUGGAGGAUUCGAAAUGAAUUUAGGUAUGUGAUUAAUCUAUUUAAAAUAUCUCAAUAUUAAUCACAUUUUUUAAGUUUUAGAAAGUGAGGGACGAAAUUAAAAUCAGUCGAUUAGUAAUAAAUUGCGGUUAUGUGAUUAAUUUAUUUUAAAAAAUUCGAUAUUAUAUCAUUGCUUAACUAUUGACAGGCGAGGGUUGCAAUCGAAAAUCAACGGACGAUAGAAAAUGCAAAAUUUGCUUAAGUAAAUUCAAACGAUUUUAAAUUGAGAAUUUUCAUUAGCAGAAAUACAUUCAGAGAUCCAGUUAUUUCUUUUAACAUAUCGUAUGAAAAAUAGAGUUUUAUAUACGUAGAAGUUACAUUCCGGUAUCCGUAAGUGAUGUUUCGUGUUUGAAUAUCAAUAGGCCUUAGGGGAUAAAUAAAGGAGACUAUCUCUUUAACUUUUCCAUAAAGAAUUUAACUCAAAACUUGACGGUAUUAAAAGUCAAAUAAACAGGAAAAUGAAUAUUAUCACUUAUAGAAUUGUAACAUUUAAAUCAGACAACGUUAAUAACGUAACAUUCAGAAUUAUGAUAUAAGAAAAUCUUUCAAAAAUAAUAUUGAGCGACUUCCUCAAAUCAGUUUCUUCUCUGGAACGAAUAGAAUAACGAAUUAGCAUUUGUAUUUUAUCUACUACACAUUUAUUUAUUUCUGAAAACAAUAUUUAAUUUUUUCACAUAAACAAUUAAAUUCGUUAAUUUUGAUAUAUAUUUACAUCAUUCAUUUAAUUUCAGAUAUUUGACAAGAAUAUCAUCUGGUUUGUACUGCUUCAAGAUGGAAUUUCUUUUGACAUUUCUUUGUCGUAAUAGAAAAAGGAACAAUCGGGAUAAGUAAUUUCUAAUAUCUUCAAUAUGAUAAUUUUUUGCGAAAUUUAAUACGUAUUACGCUUAGAUUGUACAGUAUUAACAUUAUAAUUUGACAAAUCAGUAUCCUUCUUACAUUCUGUUUUAAAUAAUAUCUCUCAAGUUAUUUUUUUCGGAAAGAACUUUUACAGAAUGGAUUUAUUCUCAUACUAUAACAAAUAACUUAUCAAAUAAACAGUUAUUGAAAUUGCACUGAUUUAUAGUAACUGUAAUUGACUAUGGAGAUGAAUAUGGAUAUGAGAAAUUUUCGUCCAAAAUCAGUAACAAUUAUCCCAAUAAACCCUAAUAUACUAGAAUAUAAAAACAAGUUAUGCAAUUGCUUAAAAAUCAGUGUUAUUCAAACUGGGUUCUCACGGAAUCACGGAAUCCUGAGAAUUUUCUGAAGGAAGUAAGGAAUUACACAAGAGGCGUUUUCAGUUAAAAUUCUGAAAUAUACCAAAUCAAAUUCAGAUGACAGAUCGACAAAUUUCUCAAGAACAAAGUAGGACUUAUCCAAUACAGAUAUCAACUUAUCUUAGCGAACAUUGGCAACAUCUUGGGAUUGUUCUCCAUUAUAUGAAACAUGUCGUCUACUAUUUUUACUAUGAGAAUGUUUUCAUUGGUAAUUUUUCUAAAAACGGAGAAAACUGAAAUAAGGCAUAAUACUAACAUAUAAGUUGCUCGUUUUAUGUGUAGGAUAUGCUAUGUUGUAUUUAAAAUACUCGGAUCAGUAUCAACCUUAAAAGAUGAAUUUAUUAAACGAGACAACGAUUCUAUUACGAAUUUGCAAAUAUUUUUUUAUAAGUUUUUGCUGUUAUUCCAUCAUAAUCUAUAACAAAAGCAAUUGGAAAUUCAUUACGUUAGCAUAACAGUAGAAAAAUAUUCAUGCAUAACGUCAAGCAUUACUAAAAUUCUACAUAAAAAUUCUAUUUGAAUCUAUUUUUGUACCAUGUGUCUCCAAUUCCGGUUUUUAUAAUUCUGUCUAUUUGUUCUUCUGGAUGUAAUAAAUUCUAAAUAAAUCAACGAUGCCUAAGAUUUCUGGGAUUUCCGGCAUUUCAUACUU
This is a long non-coding RNA of Centruroides sculpturatus (bark scorpion), 3862 nucleotides long. RefSeq lists it as uncharacterized. The transcript is spliced from 3 exons. The record is from RefSeq and is a predicted model, not a curated record. Lineage: Eukaryota; Metazoa; Arthropoda; Arachnida; Scorpiones; Buthidae.